AUCACCUGGGAUCUUGUUAAAAUACAGGUUCUGAUUCAGCGGGUCUGGGUGGGUUCCAAGAUUUUGCAUUUCUAGCAAGUUUCCAGGUGAUGCUGA
RNAcentral lists this microRNA precursor (96 nucleotides) under Felis catus (domestic cat). RNAcentral describes it as "mir-544 microRNA precursor family". It matches the Rfam family "mir-544 microRNA precursor family". The record is from Rfam by way of RNAcentral. Lineage: Eukaryota; Metazoa; Chordata; Mammalia; Carnivora; Felidae.